CGUCGGUCAGAAGCAGAGGGUGCAUGCUGGUAGUAGUCAGUUCGGUUUAGUUGUGUUUCCGUGGCAUGGUUCGGUCUGGACUUUUGCAAUGCGGUAGUAGUUUUAAGUUGGUGGCUGAUCGAUGAUGUAGUCUAGUUAGUUGGUUAAUUACUAGUUACUGUUGAAUGUUGAUGUAGUGGCGCUAGCGCUUAAGGUUCAACUUAAACUGUUGGUCAUGUAUAUUUCUGUUGGUCAUGUAUUGUGUGCAUGGUUCAGUUGGUGCUAGAUGAGAUGACCACCGAGUAAAUUAGUUGCAAGUUCAAUUAAGCAGGUUUACAUUUUUCGAUCUAAUGGUUUAUGGUUGUAUGCAUGUUGUGUGUGUUGUAGCAAAUUGAGUCCGUAAUUUGUUAUGUGAGUGGCUGGCUACCGACGCAGGAACUUGCUAGACACGUGAACAAACAUAUAGCCAUGCAUGCACAGACUAUAUAUGUCAGACUUGUCCAUUAUCAUAUGUGCCAAAACAUCUAAAAUGUGUACGGAUGGAGUACGUACUACUGUGCCUGGUCAUUCUGUAAAUCUGAAAUCAUUUAAUCGUCGUGCCGGUGUACUAGCUUAGUAUCACUAGUUGGCCACAUUCGGGCACCACCCGGGGCUUUGAUCUGAGCCCCCUCCCACAGGCGCUAUAUAAUUCUUGUACAGCGUCAAAAUAGCCUCCUCUUUUACAGCGUCAAAAUAGUCUUUUUCGCGUGAGGACUAUUUUCGCGUGAGGUUUUCUAGAUGCACAAAGAGGUUUACUAGAUACACAAAUGCAUAAAAAUAUGACGCCCAAUCCGCGGCACCAAAUUUUGGGGCGGAAGUAGGGCUGGAAUUCGGGCCCAGUCAAGCCAGCUCGGCUCGUUUCGUUAAUGAGCAAGCUCGACUCGAUUCGUUACUAUAACGAGCUCAAACCCAAGAUUAGCUCGACUUGUAUAACUCGCGAGCUGGCUCGUUUAACUUGUUAAGUUCGUUUAAGAUAUAAACAUAAAGCCCUUAAAUAUGAUAAAAAAUAAUUAUGUAUAUAUUAAACAUAUAUAUCACUAAACAAUUGUAAUCUUCUUGUAACGCGUGAGUCUCUUAGGAGGCUAGGCCUUCAACUGCUCGGCCUUGGGUUGUGCGCCUGGGACAUAGGCUGUUUAGUGGCUGAUCUUUCUUUGUAUUAGGAGUGGCUGAUCUACUGUAUCGAGCUUAAUGAGUUACACGAGUACUCGUGAGAUUGACUCGUUUAACUUGGUCCAUAAACGAUCUUAAAAUAAAAUUCGGCUCGACUCGUUAUUCUUCGAGUUCGGGUCGAUUCGAGUCGAGUCACGAGCUACUUGUUUAGCUCGCGAGCUUCGAGUUUUUUUUCCAGCUCUAGGCGGAAGCGACGAAGAGAUUUUUCGGAUGAAAAAACAUCGUCGCCAAUUAGGCAGCAGCGCUAGCACAAAAACGGCGCCCAAUCCGGCGGCCUAACCUAUCCGACACCCUAAAUUUGCAUCCUAGCAGCACGUGCGGUAAAGUUUCUUAGUGCAGCGGCUCUGUUUUAACAACUGUCUGAGGAAUGUUUUUGUCUUCGACGCAUAAAAACAAUGGUUUUUAACGCGUGAGGUAUUUUUUGGGUCUCUCUGACGCAUAAAAACGAUGAUUUUUAACGCAUGAGGUAUUUUUUAGGCGCCUAUUAAAGAUGCUCUUAGAACAGCCGGGCGCCCAAUACCUGCAUGGUCCAGUCUGAUCGGUCAAAAAACAACAACCUACCCAUACGCCCGAUUGGACAAAAAAAUGACGGAUGCCUCAAGCCGAUCUUAAACCCCGUCUAAAUUGAAGCACAUAUGGGGAGGUCAGACCCGGCACAGUCUAAAUAUGAAGCGGAUAUGGGGAGAUCGGACCCGACCAACGUUGGUGGGAGGAGGCCCGGGCGCGUCCUUCAUGUCGGACCCGGCCCACCCGAUCCCACAUAUAGUCAUCCUCAUCCACUCCUUGGAUCAAACCCUAGCCACUCCACUCCGUCCCCUCCACUACACUCCGCUCUGUCCGGCGAUCUCUGGCAUGGCGGGCAGCGAAUUCGAGUCCUACACCUUCAUAUUCAUCAACCCCGAGCUCACCCAUGUGGUCCCGAGGAGGACAUGACUGCCUGGCUUACGCUCCACCGCUUUUGGGAGGAGGCCGCCCGACAACAGCGCCCAGACUCCUUUUGCAGGGAAUCCAUUGCGUCCACCCAAAUGAUGCAUGGAUCCGCCGCGAGGUGUGGCAUCACUGCCUCAUUGGAGGUGGUGCAGUUCGUGUGGCAUCUGAACAUGGUGGCGGACGCGCAAUCCCUCCGUUGGCACGCCGAGGCGGAGGUGAACGCACCAUGGAUGCAGGGUGAUGCAAUCGUGGCAGCGGGUGCGGGAGACGGCGGCAACCCUCGCGGUGGUGGACGUUGCUGAGGCGGAGUCUCAUUUUCCGGCGCCCCGUAUGAUGCACAAGUCCUGGGGCCGCAACCGCGUCAUGAUGGAUGUCGUCGGCUUGUCACAACACGGAUCCAUUAUCGAUCUGACAUCUACCAGCACCAUCAGAGUUCGGGGCUCUGACGAGGAAGAGUAGGGCAUAGGAGACGGCGACACCUUGAGUCUCAUGAGCCGGCUUGUGCCCCAUGUCCUACUCUACCUCGUCAUCGACCGAACCAACACUCUGAGGAUUGCAUCCGGCCGUUGGGUAUGGGCAAGGCGCAGCCAGACCAGCCCCGCCAAAUAUUAGGCUUAUGUUGCAUGUAAUAGUAUGAAUUUGAGGUACCUAGUUGUGGAAUGAAUUAUUUGACGCCCGGUCACUAUUCGCAGCUGCGGGCGUUUGAGGGUUCGAAUUUACUAAGUUCGGAUGUAGAUGCUCGUAAGAUGUACGGUUCUAUGUCUGAAUGAUGUCAUUUUUAAGUUGAUAACCAAGGUUAUUAAUAAUAGGGUUAUUAUUUCAACCGAAAGAACUGUAACCCUGUACAAACAACAUUUAUCAAAGAAAGAUAUAUACUUUAGUAGUUAUCUAUACCUACUAAUAAAGCAAGCUGCGUUUCGGCAAUUUUUUCAUCCUUUCAGCGCUGAUUUUUUUUUAUUAGAGGUGGUACUAAAUUCUUAUGCGUUCGUCUGCUAGAAAAAAAUGUUUUUCCAGAAUUUCGUACGUGGGUCGCGCGUUGUGGCCCGGGGAAGCCAGCCCAUUUAUUUUUCUGCCCACGCAGCUAGAAAAAUUCUAUUUUUUGCACAGGGCCAGAAAUAGUCAGAGCUUCGCAUAGGACAACCACUAAUGGGCUGGCCCAUUUCUCUUUGUUUCUGUGGUUUAAUUCUUUUUUUUUCUCCUUCCCCUAUCUCUUUCUACCCUUCCAAGUUUAUUUUCUUUCAUAAUAUAUUUCAUAAAUUCAAAAAUCCCAAAAAACAUUCAGAACUAAAAAAAUGAAAAAUGUUCAGAAUUCCAAAUUUUUGUUGCUAUUUUGAAAAAUAUUCAGACCUUGAAAAAAAGUACCCCCUUUUUUGUAAAAAAUAUUGUUUUUCAAAAUAGUUCGAGAUUUCUAAAAACUAAAUAGCAUUAUCAAAGGUGCUCCAAUUCAAAAUAUAUUCUUGUUUUAGUGAAAUUUCAGAAUUCAGAAUAAUGUUCCCGUAUAAAAGAUAAAGAUUUUCGAAAAAUGUUAUGAAUUUUUAACACAUGUUUCCGUUAUAAAAAAAUGUUCAAAAAUUCAAAUAAUGUCCAUGUUUUUUAGAAGGUGUUUUCAAAAAAUAUUCGUGAAUUGGAAAAGAUGUUCAUGUUUCAAAUAUUGUUCGCGUUUUGCUGAAAGUGUAUGUAAUUUUCAGAAACCUGUUCAGGAUUUAAAAAUUGCUUUAUGUGUUCUACAAUAUUCAGAAAAUUCAUACCUUAAAAUCUCCUCGAUUGAAAGAAAAAGUAGAUUGAAUAAUUCGUGGGCGUUCUUUGGCGUACGAUGAAGUAACGAAACUCUUAAAUGUCCUCGAUUAACAAAUAAAAAUAUGGCAGAUUGAUUACUUCACACCAGCGAAACCGAGAAGCUAAAUGUUCAUUUUUCACGUGCAGACAAAGGUGAUGAUCAAUAUACCUACCUACUAAUGAAGCAAGAUGCGUUUCGCCAAUUUUUUCAUCCGUUCACCGCAAAAAAUAUUUUUUUCCUAUCAGAGGUGGUAGUAAAUUCUUAUGUCUUCAUCUUUUUUUUUUGAGACAAUCUCGCAUGCUUUUAUUCAUAGCCCAUAAUGUUUACAGGAAUAAACUCAAGGUUUCCUGGUUGACCUAGCCAUACAUGAUGACCAAAAUUUAAAGACAAAGCAUAUCUAGCGAGAUUGUGAGCCUCGAAAUUCGAGCUCCUGAACUCAUGAACUACUUUACAUGAAGAGAAAGCGUUUGCACGAAGUAUUAUUUCAUGCACAAUGGCGCCGUAACCAGCCGCCGAGUUUUUCUGGACAUCUUCAACCACCCUCUUGCAAUCUGUUGCUAUUUGAAUGGAGUUCUCAUAUAGAUCCUCGGCCAACGAUUGGCCUUCCCUUACUGCUAUUGCCUCUAGUGUGCUUACAUCCGUGAUGAACUCAAGUUUUAAGAUCGAAGCACCCAAAAAGCGUCCUUGUUGGUCUCGGCACACUGCUCCCACUGCUCCAAACUCCCCUUGCAAGGACACUGUUGCAUCCACAUUCAUCUUUGCAUGCCCCUCCGGCGGAGGCAACCAUGAGUGUUGCCCCAAGCUAGCUUGCUUCGUAGCAUUGCCAGCUCCUCUGUCGAUCAUCUUCAAGUCCCUCAAAAAGGAGAGUAUGAAAGAGUUAGUAGUAAAAGGGCUAUCAAAAAUCUCUUCAUGUAUUGCUCUCCUUCUUGCUCGCCAAACUGCCCAGAGUGUCACCACCAUCCGUAUAAAUUCCCCUUGAGGCAAAGAUUCAUCCCACGUAAAAAUCCAGUUUUUUUCAUCCAACGAAAGAUUACCCAACAUUGCAUCCACAGUCUCCUCUGAGCAGAGUGACCAUACACUCCUGGCCAUCACACAGUCCACUAGUGCAUGCUUCCAGUCAUCUUGCGCAGAACAAAAAGCGCAACUUAUGUCUUCAUCUGCUAUAAAAAAAGAUUUUCCAGGAUUUCAUACGUGGGGCUGCGCGCUGUUACCCAGCAAAGCCAGCCCACUUAUUUUUGUGCCAAAGCAGCUGCCAAAAUUAUAUUUUCCGCACAUGGCCAAAACGUUGGAUUCUCGCACAGGACGACCAAUAAUGGACUGACCAUUUUUAUUUGUUUCUGUGUUUUACUUCUAUUUUUAUUCUCUGUCCCCUAUUUCCUUUUUCCCUUUCAAGUUUAUUUUUCUCAUAGAAUUUAUUUCAUAAACUAAAAAUUCACAUAAAAUGUCCAGAACUAAAAAAAAAUUCGGAAAUGUUCAGAAUUCUAAAAUUUUAUUGCAAUUUUGAAAAAUAUUCGGACCAUGAAAAAAGUUUCAUUUUUUUCAAAAUUCUUUAUUUUUUUCAUAAUUGUUUGAGAUUUAUAAAAAGAAAAUGGCAUUUUAAAAAAUGCUCCAAAUUCAAAAAUUAUUUUGGUUCAAUGAAUUUUUCACAAUUAUGAAUAAAGUUCGGGUAUAAAAGAUACACAUUUUCAAAAAAUAUUAUGAAUUUUCAACACAUGUUCUUGUUUUAAAAAAAAUAAAUUUCAAAUAUUUUCCAUGUUUUUAUUUAAAAAGUUGGUGUUGUCAAAAAAAUGAGAAUUUUAAAAGAUGUUCCUAUUUCAAAUUCUGUUCACGUUUUUCUGAAAGUGUACAUUAUUUUCAAAAACAUGUUCAGGAUUUAAAAAUGGUUCAUGUUUCCUACAAUAUUCGGAUAUUUCAUACCUUAAAUUAUCCUUGGUUUAAGGGAAAAGUAGAUUGAAUAAUUCAUGGGCAUUCUCUGGCAUAUGGUGACGUAACUGAACACUUAAAUGCCGUCGAUCAAAAAAUAACGGAUGAUUACUUCUCACCUGGCGAAACCCAUAAGCUAAAUGUACCUUUUUUCAGGUGUGCAUAGGGUUUUGCUUGUACACAUAAUUCUCAAUAACUUUAAAUGUAUAUAUUUUGAUUUUUCUCCCAUUGCAACGCACUGGCAUAUAUGGUAAAUAGUUGAAGCUUCCCAUAGGGUGCCUAAACUAGGCCGACCCAUUUCCCCUUUUUCUUUGUUCCAUUUCUAUUUUUCUAUUACUGUUUUCUUUCUCUUUCUCUUUUAUAUUUCUUGUUCCCUUUUCGCCUUAUUUAUUUUUAUUUUUUCUAUAAAUAAAAAAUUAAAAACAUUUCCUAAUUGUUUUCUGAAUGCUCCCUUUAAAAAAUAAAAAUUCAAAAAAAAUUGUCUUUUUGUAAAAUUCAUAUGUUUUCAAAAUAUUGUUUGUGGAUUUCAAAAAAUAUUCAUGUCUCUAAUUUUGUUCGUGCUUUUCCAAGAAUAUAUAUUCGCGCUGGCUAUUGGUUGCCCGUUCGUUCUAUGCUGGUUGACUAUAAAUGAAAGAAAUUGUGGGCAUGUGACAAUAAAAGAGAAUAUGUUGUUUGACUUUAAUUAAAGCAAAAUUAUGGGCACUUGAGCACUAAAAUAAUAAGAAAGAAUAAACCCUCAAAAUGAUGGUACAUUCAUGCCUGAUUAUGCUAACGAAACAGAAUUUAUGCGUUGCAAUUAAUAAUCCACCUAGUUAUGCCAUCGUAAGAUAGAGUUGUCAAAGCAACCGUGUCCCGAAGUUCGCCGUGCAACCAAGAAAUGAGGAGGCAGGCACAAUCCCAAGAUGGAGGCGGACCCGGAGGAAAAAGGCAUGACUUGGAUGCUCGCCACCAUGCCGACCAACGCCACUACUAGCAAGAUUUCGCGUGUCAAACAUGUCCAACGAGAAGACCAUUACUCCUUCCUCUGUUGCCUACCAUUGUGGAGACCCUUUUUUUAGAUUACACAUAAAUUAUCUUUCCUGUUGCUUCUCGCAAAAAAAUAUCUCUCUUGUUGCAAUGCACGGGCAUAUGUGCUAGUCUUACAUAAAGCUUGAAAUUAUAUUCAUCGAAACAGAAGUGAUGUAGUGAUGUUUAAAAUGGAUUUUGAAAAAUCCUAUGACAAAGCGUUCAAACUUCCUUUUUAUGUUCUAGGGAUGCAGGUUUUCCUAGUUUAUUUUAAAAGAAGGGCUAUUGCCCAUUUUAUAAAUAAAUCCAAACGUGAUAGAGGGACCCCAUGAUGACAAUGGGUAGGGUAUGUGUGGGUACAACCUUCUUAUUGUUUGCUAUUGCCUGACUUUAUUUUACCGAAAAAGGCUCGCGCUCCGCUUUAUAGAUAAAACAACUACCAUGCAACUCCAUGACACCACACACACACAAGGCAAGAUACAAUGACGAUAGAAUCUAAAUCUAAGGAUGCCAUGAUGCCCCAUUGUUUACAAGGAAACAAGCAGACUCUACUCCUUUGAGACGUGCUAUGAGCAGCGAUGACACAUGCUGCGACCGGUGGGAUAACAUGCUGCAAGCGGCAAUAACGGAUGCUUUGACUUGCUAGGAUGACAUGAUGCAAAUGGUUGGACGAUGUGUUGUGACCUUUGGGAUGACAUGUUGCAGGCGGCUAUCGCGGAUGCUACAACCAAGGGGAGAUGUGCUUCGAGCGGUGAGGGCGGACGUUGCAACCAGUGGAUGACAUGUUGCAAGCAGCGUUGACGGAUAUUGCGAGCGGUGAGACUACAUGUUGUGAGGCCGAGUGCUCAGUCUUGUAGAAAUCUCAGCACAAAAUAUCCAGCGGCUACAGCCUACAGAGUUGACUCAAACUUAACUAAAUCUCUAUCAACUACAGCGGCUACAGAGUUGACUCAAACUUAACUAAACCUCUAUCAACUAUGAUUUAACUUCAAUGGUCAAUCCACAUGCAUGCAAUUUUUUCCAUGACUUGGACUGAUUCGCCGUGCAACUACUACUUAAUUAUUACUAGCUAGCAAUCUGAAUGAGACGGUGAUCUGAAUAUGUAUGGUCUAUCUAAUUCGACAGCAGCAUCAGAUCAUGAUCUUACUCUCCAUGCUCAAGAUGAAGCUCCUGCUGAAACGCCAUCUCUCCACCGCCGUGGUGAUCUACCAUAUCCAUUGUCCGCGGCGGCAUCGGCGGCGGUGGCAACGUGCAGGUAGGUUAUGUAGACGGCGAGGCAGUACCCGGAAACAGCAGCCAAUGCCAUGAGCAGCAGCAGCUGGAAGACUGCCGCGCAGAGGGCGCCUGCCACGGUGCGGGUCGCCAGAGAAACCACGACGCCGCACACGAUGAGGAAGAAGGUCGCCGGCUCCAUCCACGCCGGGAACAGGGCGCCAUGCAGGAGCACCAUGCCCACGGUGACCACCCAGAGCACGGCGUGCAGCCAGCCCAUGAACGAGAGGACGGACAUGGUGUCGAGCUCGUCGGCCAUGCCUCCGACGCUGGCGAUCAGGAGGAACAUGAGCGCCGUCCAGACGGCCGUCACGCCAAGCGCCGUGAGGGCGAGCGUGCGGGUGGCGCUCCGGGCCUGGGCCCUGGUGCGGCAGGUGGGGUGGGGGAGGGGCAGCGCGCCGCCGCGGAUGGCCCGCUCUGUGCCGGCGCCGAGGCGGUGCAGGGCGAGCGCGUACCCGAAGUAGGCGGCGGCGUAGACGGUGGUCAGGUGGAGGGCCAGGAUGGCGGCGCGGGGACCGAUCUCGCUGGCGGCGGAGGAGGCCAGCAGGAGGCCGUAGGAGAGGCGGGCCAGGUCGGUGUAGAACGGCCAGCUGCGCCAGAUGCACUGCAGGAGGAGGAACACGUACGCGCAGAUGGUGACGGCCAUGAUCCACACCUGGGACAUGGGGUGCCCGUCGUAGCGCACCAGCAGCACGGCCGGGACGGCCACGGCGAACGCCGCUGUGAAGCCCAGCAACGCGACGGCGAGGAUCACCUUCACCUGCACCAGGCCGGGGUCCAGCCGCCUGAAGCGCUCCAGCAAGGUGGAGCGUAUGCUCAUGUCGACGGCGGCCAUGGCCACGGAAGUCGAUCCUCCCCACGCUUUUUCUUUUCACUUUACCCUUUGUUCGUUCAAGAAAAGAUAAGGACGGGAUUCCUUUCUUUUCCUAACAAAAAACAAGACGAGCACAACAAAUUUCCCUUACUUUAGCAACAGACACCAUCACAUUGCAGCAAAUGGAUUACUAUGUACUAGUACAAAUGCCAGUGCGUUGCACCGGGUGAUAAAAGUGAUAUAACCUGCUUGAUGGUUCAUUUUUCACCAUAUUUUGUAUCCAAUUUUAAUAAAUGUCAAAUGUGGAAAUUUCCCUUUUUCUAAUAAAACUUUAACAUUUCAUUAAAAUUGUAAUACCUUUUGAAGAAUAGUUAACAUCUAUAUGAAAAUUGGAACAGACUAUAUAAAAUAAAAAAGAAAUUAAAGAAUGUAUUUCUGUUGUAUAUUUCGAAAUGGUUUUUGUAGUAAGAAGUUUUUUUGGGGUAAUUUUUAAGUGUUUUUAAAAAAUAAAAACAUAUUUGUUUGAAAUAUUUUUAAACUAUUUUUUUGUGUUAAACUUUUUGGGCAUUUUUGUUUGGUAAUUUUUACAGAUAGUUGGUUGUUUGGUUGGGAAGUUUUUUUUUAACUAUUUGGGCUUGCCUAAACAAAAUAGUUAACAUACACAGAAGGACCCAUGGACUCAUCUUCGUACCGCUUCGGUCGAUGCUCUCCGGCUUGUAGGACGGAGCCCGUAAAAGGAGCCCACGGAGAAGGACAAUGUAAUAUCCGAGAUGGUGGUUGGGGACGGGCUGAAUGACCUCUAGGGCAGUGGAUGCGGGCCGGCGGCGUGAUGAAGGAGAAGGGUGAACGACGGCGACGACGCAGACGCGGGAAAUAAUGGACGAACACGAGAGGAUGGCGGUGCGUUUGAUGGACUAGGUCAUUUUGGUGGAAUAGGCGUUGGGUAUGGCCCGUCUGGUCCGACGUGGCGGACGCGCCCGAGCAUGCCCGGGCCUCCCCAUACCCGGCGUAGAUUUCGGCUGAAUAUGAGAGGUGCCGGUCAACCUAGACGUAUAGAGCCAGUAUGAGGCUUCCGUCUUAAUCCAUUUUUUAUCGGGUCGUCCCAGACUUAUGGGGAAGGGGGUUUGGGGAGCGGUGCGGGGUGCGGGGUGCGGGGUGCCCUAUCUGUGCAUGCGAGUUGGAGACUGCUGAUCAUCUAAUCUUUGAGUGUCCGUUUGCUCAUUCCUUCCAGCGAAUGGUGGGGGUCGGCGUCAAGGACAAUGCAUUAUUCCGCGUGGAUGCCCUACAAGCCCUUGAUGUUAGCCCCGUGGUUGGGGGCGCUUCACCUACCACGUUCACACUCCUGUGCUGCUGGCAGCUGUGGAAGCACGGGAAUUCUGUGGUGUUCCGAGCCCAGACGCCAUCCCUCGCCCUCGUGCUUGGUUGCUGCAGGGAGGACGACGUCCUCUGGCAUGGGCAUCUGAAGAGGGAGGUGUGGUCCGACGCUGAUGUUUGGCUACAGGCGCUCAGCUCCCCUCUCUCUCGCUCUCCCUCCUACACUCUCGCUUGUGACUUCCCCGUCCCUGUGAGUGCUAUAAAAUCAAUAGAUAAAAUGAUUCAGGUGGGGGUCUUUGCCCCUCCCUAGUGACCUUACAAAAAAUCAACGGUUGUAGAAUGCUUUGUGGAAGUUAAAUGUGCUACCUAAAGUGAGAGUAUUCUUCUGGCGUGUUCUUAGGGGCAUUGUCGGUGUCAAAACCGGCGGAUCUCGGGUAGGGGGUCCCGAUCUGUGCGUCUAGGCGGAUGGUAACAGGAGACGAGGGACACGAUGUUUUUACCCAGGUUCGGGCCCUCUUGAUGGAGGUAAAACCCUACGUCCUGCUUGAUUAAUAUUGAUGAUGUGGGUUACAAGAGUAGAUCUACCACGAGAUCAAGGAGGCUAAACCCUAGAAGCUAGCCUAUGGUAUGAUUGUUGUUCGUCCUAUGGACUAAAGCCAUCCGGUUUAUAUAGACACCGGAGAGGGCUAGGGUAACACAGAGUCGGUUACAAUGGUAGGAGAUCUACAUAUCCGUAUCGCCAAGCUUGCCUUCCACGCCAAGGAAAGUCCCAUCCGGACACGGGACGAAGUCUUCAAUCUUGUAUCUUCAUAGUCUUGGAGUCCGGCCGAUGAUGCUAGUUCGGCUAUCCGGACACCCUCUAGUCUGGAACUCCCUCAGUAGCCCCUGAACCAGGCUUCAAUGACAACGAGUCCGGCGCGCAUGUUGUCUUCGGCAUUGCAAGGCGGGUUCUCCCUCCGAAUAAUUCAUAGAAGAUUGUGAACACCAGGAUAGUGUCCGGCUCUGCAAAAUAAUUUCCACAUACCACCGUAGAGAGAAUAAUAUUUACACAAGUUCAAUCUGCUGACGUAUUUGAUGGCGUGACGUCACACCACUACCAAGCCUUUACUUAAAUUGUCUUUAUUGUACCACCUCAGCGUGUUUAGCGAAGCCGUUUCCUUGGCACGUCUUGUCGAAGCAGAGAUCGUGUUCCUCUUAUUCCAGGAUUCCCAUCAAUACGGACGUGGGUAACCCAACCGCGCCCGUCGCCACGCCCCCUCCAUCGAAGGCGGGUUCCAAACGGUCACGGAGACGGCUCUCGGUAUUCUUCCUCUUUAUAAUGAGACCAAGGCCGGUUCUUUUCCUUCAAUCCUCAAUCGAAUCCGCCCCUCGCCCCCGAGUUCCAACACCCAGGGCUCCAGAUUCGGGUACCUUUGACCUUCGACAAUGUCCAGCUCCGACCCACCGGGCCGGUGGAUGCCCUCCUCCGUCACGGAAGAAGACGUGUUGAAGCUGAGAGACGCCAGGUAUUUGACCUAUGAGAUUUCGCAUAGGUUGCCUGCCCGAGGGCAAGUUAUCCCUACUCCCGAGCCCGGCGAGAGCGUUGUGUUUGUGUCUCACCUCCGUAGGGGUUUAGGCUUCCCGAUGGACCCCUUCGUGAGGGGGCUCAUGUUUUACUAUGGGCUGGAAUUCCAUGACUUGGCUCCGGAGUCCAUCCUCCACAUCUCAUCGUUUAUUGUCGUUUGCGAAGCUUUUCUCCGCACUACCCCUCACUUCGGCUUGUGGCUCAAAACCUUCAAUGUGGAGCCGAAGAUGAUCGAGGGGCGUCAGGCAGAGUGCGGAGGGGCGUUUAUAAGCAAGAGGGUCGAUGCUCCAUGGCCCGAGGGCUCUUUUCAAGAGGAGCUCGACAUGUGGCAACAGGAGUGGUUCUAUAUCACCGCUCCCAGGGGCAGCAGGCAGAGGCCGCUGCCCGUCUUCCGCUCGGGCCCUCCACAACAGUUGACGUCAUGGGUCAACAUGGGGCGUGACUGGGGGCCGCCUAAAGACGUACCCCUUUUGCAGGACCGGAUUCGAGGCCUCCAAGAAAGGGAGAUCAAUCUAGUCGCAGUAGUACAGGUUAUGUUGGUCCGGCGCCUACUGCCCUGCAAACGUCGCCCCCUCCGCCUGUGGGAAUUUAAUCCGGAGGGGCCACGAGCUCUUCAACACUUUAUGGAUUUGACACCCAUGGAGAUGUACAAACUGUUCUUCGGAUCGCAAGAGAUGCGUUCGGACUUGACCGAGGACGCUGGCCUAAGCUGCAAUCGCCCGGAUACUCAAGUAAGUAGCCCUGUGUCCGGACACACUAUCCACUUAUUUAUCGUGGGUUUGCCCUUUAACCAGCUAUCCCUUGAACAGGAGUGGAUAGCGCUAGCGAAACUGAUACGGUGUCCGGCCCCCCUCCCUGAGACCAUGAAAGAUCCCGUGUUAAUCAAAAUGUUGGAAGUUGCGCCCUCAGAGGAGGGCGAAGGGGGGCACAGGGGAACUACCACCUCUGCCAAGGAGCCUUUCAGUAAGGGAGGAAUCGAGAGUCCCUCCUUCCAGGGGGAUAAGAGGACAGCUUCCGAAAACCCGGAGGCCAAGGCCUCGAAGCGGGGAAAGAAAUCUGUGCCGGAAGGUCCUGUGCCGGGGAGAGCCCCGGCCGCACUGUCUCCUCGGAGGAAUCAGCCCUCCAGCGAGCCGUAAGUAAAAAAGGAGGAAUUUUGUAAUAGUGGAUACCCCUGCUUAAUUUUUGAGGGUAACCGAAGUUUUCAUCUUGUAGUUCGGAUCUCAGCCUGUCUCAGCGCAGCUCAUCUUCGGGGGACCUUCGUCCGGAGAUGAUGGAGAGUGAAACGCCUCCAUCUUCCGCCCCAUCGUACGGGGCGGACGACCCUGAGGUGUCGUCGCGCAGGGUCUCCCCGAGUCCGGCGGGGCCUGAGAGUUCGGCACCCACUGGAGUACGGUCGGGGGAACUGCAGGAUUUGUUGGAAAUAUGCCCUAGAGGCAAUAAUAAAAGUAUUAUUAUUAUAUUUCCUUGUUCAUGAUAAUUGUCUUUUAUUCAUGCUAUAACUGUAUUAUCCGGAAAUCGUAAUACACGUGUGAAUACAUAGACCACAAUAUGUCCCUAGUGAGCCUCUAGUUGACUAGCUCGUUGUGAUCAACAGAUAGUCAUGGUUUCCUGGCUAUGGACAUUGGAUGUCGUUGAUAACGGGAUCACAUCAUUAGGAGAAUGAUGUGAUGGACAAGACCCAAUCCUAAGCAUAGCACAAAGAUCGUGUAGUUCGUUUGCUAGAGCUUUGCCAAUGUCAAGUAUCUCUUCCUUUGACCAUGAGAGCGUGUAACUCCUGGAUACCGUAGGAGUGCUUUGGGUGUAUCAAAUGUCACAACGUAACUGGGUGACUAUAAAGGUGCACUACAGGUAUCUCCGAAAGUAUCUAUUGUUUUAUGCGGAUCGAGACUGGGAUUUGUCACUCCGUGUAAACGGAGAGGUAUCUCUGGGCCCACUCGGUAGGACAUCAUCACAUGCGCAAUGUGACCAAGGAGUUGAUCACGGGAUGAUGUGUUACGGAACGAGUAAAGUGACUUGCCGGUAACGAGAUUGAACAAGGUAUUGGAUACCGACGAUCGAAUCUCGGGCAAGUAACAUACCGAUAGACAAAGGGAAUUGAAUACGGGAUUGAUUAAGUCCUUGACAUCGUGGUUCAUCCGAUGAGAUCAUCGUGGAACAUGUGGGAGCCAUCAUGGGUAUCUAGAUCCCGCUGUUGGUUAUUGACCGGAGAACGUCUCGGUCAUGUCUGCAUGCCUCCCGAACCCGUAGGGUCUACACACUUAAGGUUCGAUGACGCUAGGGUUAUAAAGGAAGUUUGUAUGUGGUUACCGAAUGUUGUUCGGAGUCCCGGAUGAGAUCCCGGACGUCACGAGGAGUUCCGGAAUGGUACGGAGGUAAAGAUUUAUAUAUGGGAAGUCCUGUUUUGGUCACCGGAAAAGUUUCGGGCGAUAUCGGUAUUGUGCCGGGACCACCUGGAGGGUCCCGGGGGUCCACCAAGUGGGGCCACCUGCCCCAGAAGGUUGCGUGGGCCAAGUGUGGGAGGGGACCAGCCCCUAGGAGGGCUGGUGCGCCCCCCACAAGGGGGCCAAGGCGCAAGGGAGAGUGGGAGGGGGCAAACCCUAGUCCAGAUGGGCCUUAAGGCCCAUAUUGGUGCGCCUCCCUCUCCUCUCCCCUCUUGGCCGCCUCCCCUUUGCCAUCUAGGGCUGGCCGCACCCCUUGGGGGUGGGAAACCCUAAAGGGGGCGCAGCCCCCCCUUCCCCCUAUAUAUAGAUGAGGUUUGGGGCUGCCAUACACAUGAGAAAUUCUUCCUCUUGGUGCAGCCCUGCCUCUCUCCCUACUCCUCCUCUCCCAUGGUGCUUGGCGAAGCCCUGCUGGAUUGCCACGCUCCUCCACCACCACCACGCUGUUGUGCUGCUGCUGGAUGGAGUCUUCCUCAACCUCUCCCUCUCUCCUUGCUGGAUCAAGGCGUGGGAGACGUCACCGGGCUGUACGUGUGUUGAACGCGGAGGUGCCGUGCGUUCGGCACUUGAUCAUCGGUGAUUUGAAUCACGACGAGUACGACUCCAUCAACCCCGUUCACUUGAACGCUUCCGCUUAGCGAUCUACAAGGGUAUGUAGAUGCACUCUCUUUCUACUCGUUGCUGGUCUCUCCAUAGAUAGAUCUUGGUGACACGUAGGAAAAUUUUGAAUUUCUGUUACGUUCCCCAACAGUGGCAUCAUGAGCUAGGUCUAUUGCGUAGAUUCUUUGCACGAGUAGAACACAAAGUAGUUGUGGGCGUUGAUGUUGUUCAAUAUGCUUAUCGUUACUAGUCCAAUCUUGUUCCGACGGUAUUGUGGGAUGAAGCGGCCCGGACCGACCUUACACGUACUCUUACGUGAGACAGGUUCCACCGAUUGACAUGCACUUGGUGCAUAAGGUGGCUAGCGGGUGCCAGUCUCUCCCACUUUAGUCGGAACGGAUUCGAUGAAAAGGGUCCUUAUGAAGGGUAAAUAGCAAUUGGCAUAUCACGUUGUGGUCUUGCGUAGGUAAGAAACGUUCUUGCUAGAAACCCAUAGCAGCCACGUAAAACAUGCAACAACAAUUAGAUGACGUCUAACUUGUUUUUGCAGGGUAUGCUUUGUGAUGUGAUAUGUCCAGAAGAAUGUGAUGAAUGAUAUGUGAUGUAUGAGAUUGAUCAUGUUCUUGUAAUAGGAAUCACGACUUGCAUGUCGAUGAGUAUGACAACCGGCAGGAGCCAUAGGAGUUGUCUUUAUUAUUGUAUGACCUGCGUGUCAUUGAAGAACGCCAUGUAACUUACUUUACUUUAUUGCUAAACACGUUAGCCAUAGAAGUAGAAGUAGUCGUUGGCGUGACAACUUCAUGAAGACACGAUGAUGGAGAUCAUGAUGAUGGAGAUCAUGGUGUCAUGCCGGUGACAAGAUGAUCAUGGAGCCCCGAAGAUGGAGAUCAAUGGAGCUAUAUGAUAUUGGCCAUAUCAUGUCACAACUAUAUAAUUGCAUGUGAUGUUUAUUAUGAUUAUGCAUCUUGUUUACUUAGGACGACGGUAGUAAAUAAGAUGAUCCCUUACAAAAUUUCAAGAAGUGUUCUCCCCUAACUGUGCACCGUUGCUACAGUUUGUCGCUUCUAAGCACCACGUGAUGAUCGGGUGUGAUGGAUUCUUACGUUCACAUACAACGGGUGUAAGACAGUUUUACACAGCGAAAACACUUAGGGUUAACUUGACGAGCCUAGCAUGUGCAGACAUGGCCUCGGAACACGGAGACCGAAAGGUCGAGCAUGAGUCGUAUAGUAGAUACGAUCAACAUGAAGAUGUUCACCGAUGAUGACUAGUCUGUCUCACGUGAUGAUCGGACACGGCCUAGUUGACUCGGAUCAUGUAAUCACUUAGAUGACCAGAGGGAUGUCUAUCUGAGUGGGAGUUCAUAAGAUGAACUUAAUUAUCCUGAACAUAGUCAAAAGACCUUUUGCAA
RNAcentral lists this long non-coding RNA (16236 nucleotides) under Triticum aestivum (bread wheat). RNAcentral's name for it is "long non-coding RNA (TAES_LNC002635)". The record is from RNAcentral. Lineage: Eukaryota; Viridiplantae; Streptophyta; Magnoliopsida; Poales; Poaceae.